Molecule: ribosomal RNA, 478 nt
Filed under: uncultured bacterium
Lineage: Bacteria
Description: partial 16S ribosomal RNA
Rfam family: Bacterial small subunit ribosomal RNA
Source: RNAcentral
GACGAACGCUGGCGGCGUGCUUAACACAUGCAAGUCGAACGGUAAGGCCCUUCGGGGUACACGAGUGGCGAACGGGUGAGUAACACGUGGGUGAUCUGCCCCGCACUUCGGGAUAAGCCUGGGAAACUGGGUCUAAUACCGGAUAGGACCCUGGGAUGCAUGUCCUGGGGUGGAAAGCUUUUGCGGUGUGGGAUGGGCCCGCGGCCUAUCAGCUUGUUGGUGGGGUGAUGGCCUACCAAGGCGACGACGGGUAGCCGGCCUGAGAGGGUGACCGGCCACACUGGGACUGAGAUAUGGCCCAGACUCCUACGGGAGGCAGCAGUGGGGAAUAUUGCACAAUGGGCGCAAGCCUGAUGCAGCGACGCCGCGUGAGGGAUGACGGCCUUCGGGUUGUAAACCUCUUUCAGCACCGACGAAGCGCAAGUGACGGUAGGUGCAGAAGAAGGACCGGCCAACUACGUGCCAGCAGCCGCCGUAA